This 2931-nucleotide ribosomal RNA is filed under the name Enterobacter hormaechei. Its description in RNAcentral is "23S ribosomal RNA". It matches the Rfam family "Bacterial large subunit ribosomal RNA". The record is from RNAcentral. Lineage: Bacteria; Pseudomonadati; Pseudomonadota; Gammaproteobacteria; Enterobacterales; Enterobacteriaceae.
GGGUUGUGAGGUUAAGCGACUAAGCGUACACGGUGGAUGCCCUGGCAGUCAGAGGCGAUGAAGGACGUGCUAAUCUGCGAAAAGCGCCGGCGAGGUGAUAUGAACCUUUGACCCGGCGAUGUCCGAAUGGGGAAACCCAGUGCAAUCCGUUGCACUAUCGUUAACUGAAUACAUAGGUUAACGAGGCGAACCGGGGGAACUGAAACAUCUAAGUACCCCGAGGAAAAGAAAUCAACCGAGAUUCCCCCAGUAGCGGCGAGCGAACGGGGAGCAGCCCGGAGUCUGAAUCAGCUUGUGUGUUAGUGGAACGGUCUGGAAAGUCCGACGGUACAGGGUGAUAGUCCCGUACACGAAAGCACACUUGCUGUGAACUCGAAGAGUAGGGCGGGACACGUGGUAUCCUGUCUGAAUAUGGGGGGACCAUCCUCCAAGGCUAAAUACUCCUGACUGACCGAUAGUGAACCAGUACCGUGAGGGAAAGGCGAAAAGAACCCCGGCGAGGGGAGUGAAAAAGAACCUGAAACCGUGUACGUACAAGCAGUGGGAGCCUACUUGUUAGGUGACUGCGUACCUUUUGUAUAAUGGGUCAGCGACUUAUAUUCUGUAGCAAGGUUAACCGUAUAGGGGAGCCGAAGGGAAACCGAGUCUUAACUGGGCGUUAAGUUGCAGGGUAUAGACCCGAAACCCGGUGAUCUAGCCAUGGGCAGGUUGAAGGUUGGGUAACACUAACUGGAGGACCGAACCGACUAAUGUUGAAAAAUUAGCGGAUGACCUGUGGCUGGGGGUGAAAGGCCAAUCAAACCGGGAGAUAGCUGGUUCUCCCCGAAAGCUAUUUAGGUAGCGCCUCGUGAAUUCAUCUUCGGGGGUAGAGCACUGUUUCGGCUAGGGGGCCAUCCCGGCUUACCAACCCGAUGCAAACUACGAAUACCGAAGAAUGUUAUCACGGGAGACACACGGCGGGUGCUAACGUCCGUCGUGAAGAGGGAAACAACCCAGACCGCCAGCUAAGGUCCCAAAGUCAUGGUUAAGUGGGAAACGAUGUGGGAAGGCACAGACAGCCAGGAUGUUGGCUUAGAAGCAGCCAUCAUUUAAAGAAAGCGUAAUAGCUCACUGGUCGAGUCGGCCUGCGCGGAAGAUGUAACGGGGCUAAACCAUGCACCGAAGCUGCGGCAGCGACACUAUGUGUUGUUGGGUAGGGGAGCGUUCUGUAAGCCGUUGAAGGUGUCCUGUGAGGGGUGCUGGAGGUAUCAGAAGUGCGAAUGCUGACAUAAGUAACGAUAAAGCGGGUGAAAAGCCCGCUCGCCGGAAGACCAAGGGUUCCUGUCCAACGUUAAUCGGGGCAGGGUGAGUCGACCCCUAAGGCGAGGCCGAAAGGCGUAGUCGAUGGGAAACAGGUUAAUAUUCCUGUACUUGGUGUUACUGCGAAGGGGGGACGGAGAAGGCUAUGUCAGCCGGGCGACGGUUGUCCCGGUUUAAGCAUGUAGGCGGAGGUUCCAGGUAAAUCCGGUACCUUAUUAACGCUGAGGUGUGAUGACGAGGCACUACGGUGCUGAAGUGAUAAAUGCCCUGCUUCCAGGAAAAGCCUCUAAGCAUCAGGUAACACGAAAUCGUACCCCAAACCGACACAGGUGGUCAGGUAGAGAAUACCAAGGCGCUUGAGAGAACUCGGGUGAAGGAACUAGGCAAAAUGGUGCCGUAACUUCGGGAGAAGGCACGCUGAUAUGUAGGUGAAGCCCCUGCGGGCGGAGCUGAAAUCAGUCGAAGAUACCAGCUGGCUGCAACUGUUUAUUAAAAACACAGCACUGUGCAAACACGAAAGUGGACGUAUACGGUGUGACGCCUGCCCGGUGCCGGAAGGUUAAUUGAUGGGGUCAGCGGCAACGCGAAGCUCUUGAUCGAAGCCCCGGUAAACGGCGGCCGUAACUAUAACGGUCCUAAGGUAGCGAAAUUCCUUGUCGGGUAAGUUCCGACCUGCACGAAUGGCGUAAUGAUGGCCAGGCUGUCUCCACCCGAGACUCAGUGAAAUUGAACUCGCUGUGAAGAUGCAGUGUACCCGCGGCAAGACGGAAAGACCCCGUGAACCUUUACUAUAGCUUGACACUGAACACUGGUCCUUGAUGUGUAGGAUAGGUGGGAGGCUUUGAAGCGUGGACGCCAGUCUGCGUGGAGCCAACCUUGAAAUACCACCCUUUAAUGGCUGGUGUUCUAACGUAGACCCGUAAUCCGGGUUGCGGACAGUGUCUGGUGGGUAGUUUGACUGGGGCGGUCUCCUCCCAAAGAGUAACGGAGGAGCACGAAGGUUGGCUAAUCCUGGUCGGACAUCAGGAGGUUAGUGCAAUGGCAUAAGCCAGCUUGACUGCGAGCGUGACGGCGCGAGCAGGUGCGAAAGCAGGUCAUAGUGAUCCGGUGGUUCUGAAUGGAAGGGCCAUCGCUCAACGGAUAAAAGGUACUCCGGGGAUAACAGGCUGAUACCGCCCAAGAGUUCAUAUCGACGGCGGUGUUUGGCACCUCGAUGUCGGCUCAUCACAUCCUGGGGCUGAAGUAGGUCCCAAGGGUAUGGCUGUUCGCCAUUUAAAGUGGUACGCGAGCUGGGUUUAGAACGUCGUGAGACAGUUCGGUCCCUAUCUGCCGUGGGCGCUGGAGAAUUGAGGGGGGCUGCUCCUAGUACGAGAGGACCGGAGUGGACGCAUCACUGGUGUUCGGGUUGUCAUGCCAAUGGCACUGCCCGGUAGCUAAAUGCGGAAGAGAUAAGUGCUGAAAGCAUCUAAGCACGAAACUUGCCCCGAGAUGAGUUCUCCCUGAGACCUUGAGUCUCCUGAAGGAACGUUGAAGACGACGACGUUGAUAGGUCGGGUGUGUAAGCGCAGCGAUGCGUUGAGCUAACCGAUACUAAUGAACCGUGAGGCUUAACCUUACAACGCCGAAGCUGUU